RNAcentral lists this ribosomal RNA (437 nucleotides) under Acanthopotamon martensi. RNAcentral describes it as "partial large subunit ribosomal RNA". It matches the Rfam family "Archaeal large subunit ribosomal RNA", at positions 1995 to 2630 of the family's 2987-position model. Lineage: Eukaryota; Metazoa; Arthropoda; Malacostraca; Decapoda; Potamidae. The record is from RNAcentral.
AAUAGUUUAAGGGCCGCGGUAUUUUAACUGUGCAAAGGUAGCGUAAUCAUUAGGUUUUUAAUUAAGAUCUUGUAUGAAUGGUUGGACAAAAGUAAAACUGUCUCUGUGUUAAUUUUGAAUUUAACUUUUGAGUGAAAAGGCUUAAAUAUUUUAGAGGGACGAUAAGACCCUAUAAAACUUUAUGUUGUAAUUGUAUUUAAUUGAAUUUAUAAAUAAAAAUUUAAUUUUAUUGUGCAUUGUGUUGGGGAGACAAAGGUAAAAAGAUUUUUAACUGCUUUAUAUUUAAACAAAUAUUUAUGAAUAUUUAAAAGAUCCUUUUUUAAGAGUAAAAGAUUAAGUUACUUUAGGGAUAACAGCGUUAUUUUUUUUGAGAGUUCUUAUCGAAAAAAGAGUUUGCGACCUCGAUGUUGAAUUAAAAUAUCUCUGUAGUGCAGAAG